GAAUUCUGGUGCAAACGCCACAUAAGGUAAAAUAACGUCAUAGCUCGUUUAGCCAAUGAGGCGCCGCUUUAUAUAUAUAGCUGUGUGAUGGUAAAUUUCCCGCGAUCCCGUAGGAUGCAAACAUCCGAAUGAUGCUGAUCACUGAAGCGACAUGCCGACAACAGCUGCAGGUGUGCAGAAGAAUGACCACAACAUUGAAGUCAACUUUAAUGAUGACAACUGUAAAGGCUCCUGUAAUCAAGAGAGUUCUGAGGUUAGUGACAUUGGUCACAUAUCUAUGCCUAUAGGAGGACCAUCAGAAAUUCCAGCUCCCUGAUGCAUCAAAAGAACGGCUUUUUAAAGAUGAUGUUCAGCCCAGGUCAUAUAAGGAUGUGCCAGGAUUGGGAGGUGGAGGAAAGCCGAAGUACCCGGAGAAAAACCACCGGCCUACGUCGCAGCUUCAGCCUGCAGAAAAGGUUGUUGGUAAAAAGAGAGGAAGAUCUGGCAUGAGACAUUUAAAUGUGCUACAAAUGUUUCAAACCAAUGAUGCCUUGACAUAUGACAGAAUGCAUGAAAGCCCUAUAACCUUUUGUGCCAGAGAGAUAUUGCUGGUGACCAUGUGGCUGGUAUUGAAAUAUAUAGGAAGUUCCACUACAGACAACAUUAGACACCAAGACUAAGAUCUUCAUUAUUGAUACAUUCUUAUGUAUAUGUAACAGAAGAAAUAAUCAUUGAUUCUUUCUUUGUAGCCCACCAUCUAUUCAAAUCACCUUUCAUCUGUUGACCAUUCUUAAACAAUUCUUGUUAUUGCUAUUUCUUAGAGAGCACUAAAGGGAUUAUUUUUAUUAGCUCACCUGGUCAAAAGGGCCAGUGAGGCUAUGCCAUGUAGCAGGGUCCGUCAUCUGUUAACAUUUCUUUUAAAUAGCUACAAGUCCUGAACAAAUGAAUUAAUUUUGAUGAAAUUCUGUCUGGGGAAUUAUUGGGCAAAGGAGACCUAUUGUUGUAUAAAUGGAAGGCGUGGCUCUGUUGGGUCCAGAGAGGGGGCCUAACAGGGGAAAUGUUGCAAAAAAAAAUGAAAUGCUAACAAACCUCUUAAAUUCCUCCUUUUUGAAGAAUGACAGGAUUUGGUCCAUUUCCAAUUAAACCAAGUUGGAAAAUGCAGCAUAAAAGGUAGAAAAAUGAUUGCAAUAUGACAAAGUAUUUUGCCUUGAUUAAUGAAAUAUAAAGAUGAGCGAUACAGGCUCUUGUAUUUUAUAUGUAGCUUUCCCAUGGUCCUUAGUUGUGCAUUUUCCAUUAUGUGACAGAUUACAAUCAGUAAUGGCAACCAGGAGCUAUGUUAAAUUUUGGCUAUUGAAGUUUGUUUCCGCUAUUUCUUAGAAAAUGAUGAAUGCAUCUUUCCCUAAGAAAAUGAUGAAUGCAUCUUACUCAAAUUACUUAUGUAGGUUCGCCUUGGUCCCUUAAUAUGCUUGUUCAAUUAUAGGACCCAUCA
Long non-coding RNA from Pecten maximus, 1468 nucleotides. RefSeq lists it as uncharacterized. NCBI's taxonomy places the organism in Eukaryota, Metazoa, Mollusca, Bivalvia, Pectinida, Pectinidae. The record is from RefSeq and is a predicted model, not a curated record. The transcript is spliced from 5 exons.